GAGUUUGAUCGUGGCUCAGGAUGAACGCCGGCGGUGUGCCUAAUACAUGCAAGUCGAGCGAACCACUUCGGUGGUGAGCGGCGAACGGGUGAGUAACACGUAGGUUAUCUGCCCAUCAGACGGGGACAACGAUUGGAAACGAUCGCUAAUACCGGAUAGGACGAAAGUUUAAAGGUGCUUCGGCACCACUGAUGGAUGAGCCUGCGGCGCAUUAGCUAGUUGGUAGGGUAAAGGCCUACCAAGGCGACGAUGCGUAGCCGACCUGAGAGGGUGAUCGGCCACACUGGGACUGAGACACGGCCCAGACUCCUACGGGAGGCAGCAGUAGGGAAUCUUCGGCAAUGGGGGCAACCCUGACCGAGCAACGCCGCGUGAGUGAAGAAGGUUUUCGGAUCGUAAAGCUCUGUUGUAAGUCAAGACGGGUAGUGAGAGUGGAAAGUUCACACUGUGACGGUAGC
RNAcentral lists this ribosomal RNA (458 nucleotides) under uncultured bacterium. RNAcentral describes it as "bacterial SSU rRNA". It matches the Rfam family "Bacterial small subunit ribosomal RNA", at positions 9 to 479 of the family's 1533-position model. The record is from RNAcentral.